CCAAUAUGCACACGGUACACAGAAGGUAUUGGUUAAACAAAUACACACCUUUUUGUUAUUCCCUCUUGUGAGCGAGACCCAUCUGUGGCGGCAGAUUUCCAAAACAAAGUGGAACAAAAAGAGAAAUUUGUUCUGGUUGUGCGAAUGGAAGAUCUGGCCGACAAAAAUUUCCUGAGCAUGCAAACAAAGCCGGACGGGACGGGGCUUUUAGCAAACAACUCCUCGCAGGUGAUUUGCAAAUUCCUCUUUUGGGAUUUUUAACAAACUUUUCAGCUACAGUAGUGUUCUUAUCUUAUCUCAUCUGAGGCAAAGGGGCCGCUGCAUUAGGACGUCGUUUGGAAUGAAAAGCAUAUUGCUGUUUGUGUUUGUUGUGGACGCUGCAGAGUUUUUUUUGUUUGUCAUAAAGCAAGAACCGUGGUUUAAACAUGAAUUUUAAUAUAUACAUUAGAGAUGAAUACAUGAGAUGAAUACAUCUGUAUUCAUGGAUGGAUAUAAAAAUAAAAUUUGUGUUUUUAAUUAAGGGGUAAAAAAAGAGAAUCAUGUUUUAAUGUAAUACAUCUAUGAAGCACUGGAGAAGAACUUCUCCAGUUUCUGAAUAAAAGUUAAACUUAACAUCAACAGUCAAAUUUUCCCAUUGAGACAAAUUAAGAGCAACGUUCUAUUGAACUUUAUCUCUACUCUGGAGCCAACACAAACACCAGUCUUCAAUAGAUUUAUACAUUUGCUUUAUUUAUGGCGCGAUGAUCCACAUCAACCAUCUUCAUUACCAAAACAGCAAUUAUAACUAUGUGGAUAAUGUUCCUCAAAUGUGUGUUGUGGAUCAAAACACCCCUCUCGUCAGUAUUAGAGAACAGUUUUGCAUAUUUUCAAUGGGCAGUAUCAAAGAAGUCAACGAUUAAGGCAGGCAAAAACUGCCCAUAUAGAUGCCUGCCAAUUAUUUUGAGGCAACCAGCCUUUUCUUUUACAAAGAUACUUUAAAACAUACUUCAAGAUACUUCAAAUUUAAUGCAUUUUUUCUUACAAGCAAACAAAUUUAUUUUACAUGAGCAGAAACUGGCUCAGAGAAAAGGGAGCACGGGGUCCAUACACAAGGGAGGAAGGGUAAUAAGAGACAGGUGAAACUGAUCAGGUAGUUGGGGGUAAUCACACAGCUGGGACAAGAGACGGCAAUCAAAUUUAAAUGAAUGAAAAAAAAAAAAGGAAAACAUAACCUUAAAAUCACAGAAUGUCCCUGUGUUACAAUUACAUGUUUUGUCUUAUUAUUGCAGAAUAAAACUAGAAUUUACGCAGGGAGCUGUGUAAAGUGGUUAAACAAGAUACAAAAUCUUCUGGAGCCCACCCUUACUAACAUGAUCGUGGGUAGUGGAGGGGACAGGUUUUUAGAAAAAAGGAAAAAAAACGGACAAAGUAAAGAAAAGACGACAUUUCGGCCUCCGCUUUAAUCGAUUUUCAUUUCUCUUUUUUUAACUGUCCGUCCGGAGUCAGACUGCAGUAUAGCAGUGGGAUGCAAAAUCGAUGGCGUGCUCUUCUAAGGGAACCAUCAAUCCAUUCCAAGCAGUGACAGGAAGUCAAAGUAGCAGAGGUCUGGACAUUGACUGACUGUGUGUGGUAAAGGAAGGCAGCGGGGGGAGCUGGAGGAGGAAGAGGCGCAAAGAUUGAAAGGAGAGGGUACAGUGGAAGUGAGCUAGCCGCGGAGUCUCAUUACUCUGUACUCCUGUGAUCUCUCCCCGUCAAGGAUGCUGAGUAGGGCUUUGUUGAGUCAGACUGAAAAGAGAGACGGAAGAAGGUGGAGCAAGGAAUGGAAUAUAAAAAAAAAGGAAAGCAGCAGCCUAGGAUGCAAAGAGCAACACAGCAACGUAGUCAAACGAAUAAAUCAUCACUUCUUCCGAGUCUUUUCGCUCUUUUCUACCCCCUUUCCUCUCUUUCUGGAGGAGAAAUUGGAAUAUAAUCCAUUGCCCUGGCUUUGAGGAUUGGCUUUGAAGGCUGAGACGGACAGGCCUGUGCCAGAAUAAGAGAUGCUAAAGUGUUCGGGGAGUUUGAUGGCUCAGUGCGAGAAGCCUUCAAAAAUCAAAAAAAAAAAAAAAAUGGAAUAAUAAAAAACUUGCGACAAGGACACAGCGGCUGCUUGGCUUCGCUAGUAUUUUUGGUACGCUGACUUACAUGUACAAGGCAGCGAGCAACAUGUCGAGUCAUGUCAUGCCGCCGCCCAGUGCGAUUACAAAUGUCUGUACCGUGAGUGUAGAUAUA
Long non-coding RNA from Gasterosteus aculeatus aculeatus (three-spined stickleback), 2247 nucleotides. Lineage: Eukaryota; Metazoa; Chordata; Actinopteri; Perciformes; Gasterosteidae. The record is from Ensembl.